Molecule: non-coding RNA, 1286 nt
Organism: Arachis ipaensis
Lineage: Eukaryota; Viridiplantae; Streptophyta; Magnoliopsida; Fabales; Fabaceae
Source: RefSeq, a predicted model, not a curated record
AGAAAGCGGCGAACUGAGAUUGGUAGCGCGCGAAGCCCUGAUGGUGCUGCUCCACUGUGCGCCACUGCUGCCCAGCUAUCCUCCUCUCUCCGGUGUCGACCUUUCGCCUCUCCUCCACAGCGUGAAACCCCUACUCCCUCCCUCCUCCAGGGUGCGCGAAAUCCCUAAUCUCUGAUCCACCCUGCGCCUCUAUGGGGUUGUGGAGUCGCGCGGCUGCCAUCCGUCUGUCUCUUCCCGGCGUCGACCUUUCGGCUCUCCUCCACAGUGCGCGAAACCCCUGCUUCCUCCUCCACGUUUGUUACUUAAUCAGGGAAAUCAAGGUAUCAAAGACAAGCAGUGGCAGAAAGCCAUUGGAGUCUUGCAGAUUAAUCACAAAAGUGAUUACUUUUAGUUAGCUAUGUUAUUUAGUUGGCAUUUAAGAAAAGGGACAAAAGAUUUUAUUUCUCUUACUAGACAAUUAGAUAGAUGCCUUUCCUAUCUUCACCUUUUCUAUAGUCUUUAUUUAUUAUGUAAUUUCGGUCUGCUCACAGAGGGGAACUCAAUUUUAAUGAUGAUUUUGUUGUAUUAGCCUGAAUAUAAAUGUUUGUAGAUUUGCUACACUUCUUUGGCAAUUAAAGCAAGUGUUUCAGUUUCUCGUGCAUUAGGGAUUGACUUCUCAAUCAACCACCAGGCCAGGCCACCAUUCUCUGUUUUUAAUAGGCCUCUGGAUGAUGCUUCUGACCCCUCAAGACCAAUUGAAUUCUUGGUUAACCAUAGCCAGCCUCAGCAAUAACUCUGUGACACCAUUUGCAACUUAACUACCAUCAGUACCUCUACCGACAGAUGUUGAUUACCUCAAUAAGGAAAAUGGCCAUCAGAGGGAUGCUGGGUCCACUGCAUCAACAGCUAUGGUGUUGGGCGACCGAAUUCUUGUUACAAAUGUUGGCAAUUCCAGAGUAGUUACAUCCAGAGCUGGUACAGAGUAUUGCAACAGAAAUGCAGAGUGAGUCUAAAUGGAAGCAGAUGGGAGAAUUAGCUAUGUCUAAUGGAAGGGUACUUUUUAUGUUAUUUGAAACUUAAAUUUUAGAUAUGGCUGAGGAUUGUUUGAAUCAUGUGAUGGAUUUGAGCGAGUUAUUACCAUUGUAUUCUUCUUUAGGAGAAGCUGAAGGAAUAUCAAAAUGUGUUUUUUUGGCUAGUUGUAGAAAAAAUUAGGUAGCUUUGUGGAGAAAUUAUUUUUUUUACUAUAAUAGUGAAGAUUGUGGGGGUUAUAAACAUUUGCUAUUUUUUUUUUUUAAAAAAAAUGCAUG